This 522-nucleotide ribosomal RNA is filed under the name uncultured Basidiomycota. Its description in RNAcentral is "eukaryotic LSU rRNA". The stretch from base 139 to 292 matches the Rfam family "5.8S ribosomal RNA". The record is from RNAcentral. Lineage: Eukaryota; Fungi; Basidiomycota.
CGUCUACUUGUAGAGCCUGACCUCCACUUCUAACACUGUGCACUUGAUGGCGAGGUAAUGGAACUUUCGAGUGAAACUACCUUGCGGCUUCAUUUUAAACAUUAGUCAAAGUAUGUAAUGAAAUAAAAAACAAAAAAAAACUUUCAACAACGGAUCUCUUGGCUCUCGCAUCGAUGAAGAACGCAGCGAAAUGUGAUAAGUAAUGUGAAUUGCAGAAUUCAGUGAAUCAUCGAAUCUUUGAACGCACCUUGCGCUCCCUGGUAUUCCGGGGAGCAUGCCUGUUUGAGUGUCAUGAACUCUUCAACCCACCAGUUUCUAGUAGACUGCGUUGGUGUUUGGAUUUUGAGCGUUGCUAGUCUGACUAGCUCGUUCGUAAUAUAUUAGCAUCUCUAAUUCGAAUUCGGAUUGACUCAGUGUAAUAGACUAUUCGCUGAGGACACUUUUAUUAGUGGCCGUACUAGAACCAGUAGAAGCUUCCAACUAUUGUAGUCAACUUUAAUUUAGACCUCAGAUCAGGCAGGA